UACGGAGGGUGCAAGCGUUGUUCGGAAUCACUGGGCGUAAAGGGCGUGUAGGCGGUCCGCUAAGUCUGAUGUGAAAGCCCGGGGCUCACCCCCGGAAGGGCAUUGGAAACUGGCGGACUCGAGUCCCGGAGAGGAAGGUGGAAUUCCUGGUGUAGCGGUGAAAUGCGUAGAUAUCUGGAGGAAUACCGGUGGCGAAGGCGGCAUCCUGGACCAUUACUGACGCUGAGGCGCGAAAGCUAGGGGAGCAAACGGG
RNAcentral lists this ribosomal RNA (253 nucleotides) under uncultured bacterium. RNAcentral describes it as "partial 16S ribosomal RNA". It matches the Rfam family "Bacterial small subunit ribosomal RNA", at positions 524 to 776 of the family's 1533-position model. The record is from RNAcentral.